This 393-nucleotide ribosomal RNA is filed under the name uncultured bacterium. RNAcentral's name for it is "partial 16S ribosomal RNA". It matches the Rfam family "Bacterial small subunit ribosomal RNA", at positions 523 to 918 of the family's 1533-position model. The record is from RNAcentral.
AUACGGAAGGUCCGGGCGUUAUCCGGAUUUAUUGGGUUUAAAGGGAGCGCAGGCGGAGAUGCAAGCGUGACGUCAAAUUUCGGGGCUCAACCCCGUCUCGCGUCGCGAACUGCGUCCCUUGGUUGCGGGAAGGGGAGGCGGAACUCGCGGUGUAGCGGGGAAAUGCAUAGAUAUCACGAAGAACUCCGAUCGCGAAGGCAGCCUUCCGGCCCGUCAACGACGCUCAUGCUCGAAGGUGCGGGUAUCAAACAGGAUUAGAUACCCUGGUAGUCCGCACAGUAAACGAUGGACACCCGCGGUUUGGCCUGUAUGGCUGAGCCGCCAAGCGAAAGCGUUAAGUGUCCCACCUGGGGAGUACGCCGGCAACGGUGAAACUCAAAUGAAUUGGCGGGG